RNAcentral lists this ribosomal RNA (497 nucleotides) under uncultured bacterium. RNAcentral describes it as "partial 16S ribosomal RNA". It matches the Rfam family "Bacterial small subunit ribosomal RNA", at positions 28 to 507 of the family's 1533-position model. The record is from RNAcentral.
GAUGAACGCUGGCGGCGUGCCUAAUACAUGCAAGUCGAGCGAACGGACGAGAAGCUUGCUUCUCUGAUGUUAGCGGCGGACGGGUGAGUAACACGUGGAUAACCUACCUAUAAGACUGGGAUAACUUCGGGAAACCGGAGCUAAUACCGGAUGAUAUUUUGAACCGCAUGGUUCAAAAGUGAAAGACGGUCUUGCUGUCACUUAUAGAUGGAUCCGCGCUGCAUUAGCUAGUUGGUAAGGUAACGGCUUACCAAGGCAACGAUGCAUAGCCGACCUGAGAGGGUGAUCGGCCACACUGGAACUGAGACACGGUCCAGACUCCUACGGGAGGCAGCAGUAGGGAAUCUUCCGCAAUGGGCGAAAGCCUGACGGAGCAACGCCGCGUGAGUGAUGAAGGUCUUCGGAUCGUAAAACUCUGUUAUUAGGGAAGAACAUAUGUGUAAGUAACUGUGCACAUCUUGACGGUCCCUAAUCAGAAAGCCACGGCUAACUACGUG